UGGGGAAUAUUGCACAAUGGGGGAAACCCUGAUGCAGCGACGCCGCGUGAACGAAGAAGGUCUUCGUAUCGUAAAGUUCUGUCCUAUGGGAAGAUAAUGACAGUACCAUAGAAGAAAGCUCCGGCUAAAUACGUGCCAGCAGCCGCGGUAAUACGUAUGGAGCGAGCGUUGUCCGGAAUUAUUGGGCGUAAAGGGUACGCAGGCGGUUUAAUAAGUCGAAUGUUAAAGAUCGGGGCUCAACCCCGCAAAGCAUUGGAAACUGAUAAACUUGAGUAGUGGAGAGGAAAGUGGAAUUCCUAGUGUAGUGGUGAAAUACGUAGAUAUUAGGAGGAAUACCAGUAGCGAAGGCGACUUUCUGGACACAAACUGACGCUGAGGUACGAAAGCGUGGGGAGCAAACAGG
Molecule: ribosomal RNA, 403 nt
Filed under: bacterium
Lineage: Bacteria
Description: partial 16S ribosomal RNA
Rfam family: Bacterial small subunit ribosomal RNA
Source: RNAcentral